This is a long non-coding RNA of Hordeum vulgare subsp. vulgare (domesticated barley), 2038 nucleotides long. RefSeq lists it as uncharacterized. The record is from RefSeq and is a predicted model, not a curated record. NCBI's taxonomy places the organism in Eukaryota, Viridiplantae, Streptophyta, Magnoliopsida, Poales, Poaceae. The transcript has 6 exons.
ACGUAGACGGCCAGCUCGCGCGGAGCACGCGUCAGAUGGUGCCUAGGAGAGUCGGUCCAUCACGCCUAACUAGCCCUACUCUAACGCACACCUAGCACGCUGCACGGACACCCCCGUGCUCGCGGACACGCCUUCCACCGUUCCACGCAACCUUCGUGUCCCGCUCGUGCACACACACGCGCACCCGACGCACCAGCGUGGCUUAGACCCAACACACACACACACCCUAAGCCACGCCUAGAGGAGCCCGUCAUCCUCGACGUCGUCGUCGUCAAGCAGAGCCUGCUCCGUGGUCUGCGCCUUCCGGGGCCUCGGACACUCACGCCGGAAGUGCCCACGCUGUACACAGCCGUAACAGUGCCCGCGCCACUUCCCUCUGCCGCCCAACGCCGUGCUGGGCCGCACCAUCGUCGUGGAGAGGAGAGGAGAGGAGGGAGAAAGAGAUAGGAAAGAGGAGAGAGAGGCGUGACAGCUGACGGGAGAGGGUCACCGGCCGGCGUCAGCCUGCGCCCGCGCGCCGGCGAGGUCAGACGCGAGCUGGCGGUCGGCGGAAGCUCGAUUCGUUCCUGGUAUGCUCUCGUGAGUGGGUGGGUGGGGUUUGGGGAAAAGGUUCGGGCUUGGGCUUUCGGAACACCCAGAAGAAGUCUGGAGAGUGACCGGCAGGCGUGGCCCGCCACCACCGCGGCUCCAAGAGAACAAUCUCCACCACAACCGGCGAUGGCGAUGGCGACAAGCCGAGGCGGCAUUGCAGGUCCUACUGCGAGCGGGCAAAGGAGGUGCUCUUGGGUCGAGGUGGGGCAGGCGAGUCUCCAAGGCAACGGGCCGAGGCAGGUUGGUCUGUUGUUGCUGCUGCCGAUGGACGGAAGAGGUACUCUCUGGUUGAGGCGGCAGUGUCGUCGGUGAUGCUAAGGCUUUGUUUGGUAGAAGUGGAUUGAGCAGGUUCGGGGAAGAGGGGAUUUGAGGGGAUUUGAUGAAUCCCUUCCUUUCAUCCAAUCCUCUCGAAUCCUCGGGGCUUUGCUUCCACCGGUUCCUCGAGGAGGGUCCUGAAACAUAUGGAUAGGAACGGAUUGAAGGGGAACGGAGGGGAUUCGGUUAAGCAAACCCCUCUUAUCAAAUGGACGCCCGAGGUUCUAUGGGGUUUCUGGUCCUCCCGGGAAUUUUCCUCUCGAAACCUCCUGAAUCCCCCGUGCCAAACGAGGCCUCAGGGGGAACUAAUGGGCAAGCGAGACCAGCAGGGGAAGGAAUAGGGUGUGGCCUCACAUGUUGGCUUGUUGCUUGCGCCUGAAUAAGACAGAGACCGGCAACCAAUGGACACCAUCUAGUGUUGGUUAGAAGUUACAACAGACUCUGAGGUAGGAUGUGAUUCUUAUCUUUGAAGAGUGGCAUGCUCGAGUUGUGAAUCUGCUAUUAUACAUUGGGUGAGGAAAGCAAUAGGCAUACAUAUGAUAGUCAUCAAUCUCUUGACCGUGAGGCCAAUGAGAUUUACGAACUUCAUGCAGUAACACACUAAAUAGGUAUAGAUUCAGUCCUCACCAUAGACAGGUUCAUCCUAUUGCUUGCCUUGCUAUUCCAUGUUCAUUUUUAUUUUGUGCUAAUGAAGUCCUUGCUGGAUUAAUUACAAGGAGGUGUGUUAUGCUGGAGCAGGAGGCUGGAAGGGAUCUAAUACUAUGAAGGUAGAAAGCCUAAGAUAAAAACUGAUUUUGGAGGGAGAUUCAACCUGGGAGAGGUGCACAGAACUACUCAAGAAAAGAGUAGACUCACAUCAUUGGCUGAUGCAAAAAUACCUCAAGGAAUUGUUGUUUCAAAUUGCAGUUGCGUCCAAGGUUGGCUGAGUGCUUUAGCGUUACUAAUGACCCCGAGUUAUCCUAUGCAAGGCGCCGUCGAUUGCAAAUGAUGUUUUUAGUGGAAUGGAACAAUAUAGAACAUUGGAGUGGAUAACCUUAGUACAAUUAUAAUUCUGCAUGCAAUAUUUUUGUACUAGGUUGAACCAGAUAGUCUCUUCCAAUGGAAAUUGGAGGGUGGCCUUUCUUACGAUAAA